This 790-nucleotide ribosomal RNA is filed under the name uncultured archaeon. Its description in RNAcentral is "bacterial SSU rRNA". It matches the Rfam family "Archaeal small subunit ribosomal RNA", at positions 85 to 878 of the family's 1478-position model. The record is from RNAcentral.
ACUGCUCAGUAACACGUAGUCAACAUGCCCAGGGGACGUGGAUAACCUCGGGAAACUGAGGAUAAACCGCGAUAGGCCAAGAUUUCUGGAAUGAAUCAUGGUUUAAAUCUAUAUGGCCCCUGGAUUGGACUGCGGCCGAUCAGGCUGUUGGUGAGGUAAUGGCCCACCAAACCUGUAACCGGUACGGGCUCUGAGAGGAGGAGCCCGGAGAUGGGCACUUAGACAAGGGCCCAGGCCCUAUGGGGCGCAGCAGGCGCGAAACCUCUGCAAUAAGCGAAAGCUUGACAGGGUUACUCUGAGUGAUUUCCGCUAAGGAAGUCUUUUGGCACCUCUAAAAAUGGUGCAGAAUAAGGGGUGGGCAAGCCUGGUGUCAGCCGCCGCGGUAAUACCAGCACCCCGAGUGGUCGGGACGAUUAUUGGGCCUAAAGCAUCCGUAGCCGGUUCUACAAGUCUUCCGUUAAAUCCACCUGCUCAACAGAUGGGCUGCGGAGGAUACUAUAGAGCUAGGAGGCGGGAGAGGCAAGCGGUACUUAGUGGGUAGGGGUAAAAUCCGUUGAUCCAUUGAAGACCACCAGUGGCGAAGGCGGCUUGCCAGAACGCACUCGACGGUGAGGGAUGAAAGCUGGGGGAGCAAACCGGAUUAGAUACCCGGGUAGUCCCAGCUGUAAACGAUGCAGACUCGGUGAUGAAUAGGCUUCGUGCCUAUUCAGUGCCGCAGGGAAGCCGUUAAGUCUGCCGCCUGGGGAGUACGGUCGCAAGACUGAAACUUAAAGGAAUUGGCGGGGGAGCA